Molecule: non-coding RNA, 25 nt
Filed under: Mus musculus (house mouse)
Lineage: Eukaryota; Metazoa; Chordata; Mammalia; Rodentia; Muridae
Source: RNAcentral
UGAGCACCAUGUGCAAACCAGGUAC